Molecule: ribosomal RNA, 253 nt
Filed under: uncultured bacterium
Lineage: Bacteria
Description: partial 16S ribosomal RNA
Rfam family: Bacterial small subunit ribosomal RNA
Source: RNAcentral
UACGUAGGGUGCAAGCGUUGUCCGGAAUUAUUGGGCGUAAAGAGCUCGUAGGCGGUCUGUUGCGUCGGCUGUGAAAACCCGGGGCUCAACUCCGGGCCUGCAGCCGAUACGGGCAGACUAGAGUUCGGCAGGGGAGACUGGAAUUCCCGGUGUAGCGGUGAAAUGCGCAGAUAUCAGGAGGAACACCGGUGGCGAAGGCGGGUCUCUGGGCCGAUACUGACGCUGAGGAGCGAAAGCGUGGGGAGCGAACAGG